This 303-nucleotide ribosomal RNA is filed under the name uncultured bacterium. Its description in RNAcentral is "partial 16S ribosomal RNA". It matches the Rfam family "Bacterial small subunit ribosomal RNA", at positions 507 to 807 of the family's 1533-position model. The record is from RNAcentral.
AGCAGCAGCCACGGGAAUACGGAGGGUGCAAGCGUUAAUCGGAAUUACUGGGCGUAAAGCGCACGCAGGCGGUCUGACAAGUCAGAUGUGAAAUCCCCGGGCUUAACCUGGGAACUGCAUUUGAAACUGUCAGGCUGGAGUCUUGUAGAGGGGGGUGGAAUUCCAGGUGUAGCGGUGAAAUGCGUAGAGAUCUGGAGGAAUACCGGUGGCGAAGGCGGCCCCCUGGACAAAGACUGACGCUCAGGUGCGAAAGCGUGGGGAGCAAACAGGAUUAGAUACCCCGGUAGUCCCUGUCUCUUAUAC